GGCCUCGUAGCUCAGCCGGUAGAGCGUGUGCUGUUCAAAAGCGUAGGCUUCGUACAUGCGUCGGUUCGAAUCCCACCGGGGCUA
This 84-nucleotide transfer RNA is filed under the name Echinostoma caproni. It matches the Rfam family "tRNA". Rfam says of the family: Transfer RNA (tRNA) molecules are approximately 80 nucleotides in length. Their secondary structure includes four short double-helical elements and three loops (D, anti-codon, and T loops). The record is from Rfam by way of RNAcentral. Lineage: Eukaryota; Metazoa; Platyhelminthes; Trematoda; Plagiorchiida; Echinostomatidae.